UACGUAGGGUGCAAGCGUUGUUCGGAAUCAUUGGGCGUAAAGCGCGUGUAGGCGGUAAGCUAAGUUUGGUGUGAAAGCCCGAGGCUUAACCUCGGAAGGGCACUGGAUACUGGCUUACUAGAGGACGGGAGAGGAUGGUGGAAUUCCUGGUGUAGGGGUGAAAUCCGUAGAUAUCAGGAGGAACAUCUGUAGCGAAGGCGGCCAUCUGGUCCGUUUCUGACGCUGAGACGCGAAAGCGUGGGUAGCAAACAGG
This 253-nucleotide ribosomal RNA is filed under the name uncultured bacterium. RNAcentral describes it as "partial 16S ribosomal RNA". It matches the Rfam family "Bacterial small subunit ribosomal RNA", at positions 524 to 776 of the family's 1533-position model. The record is from RNAcentral.